UACGUAGGGUGCAAGCGUUAAUCGGAAUUACUGGGCGUAAAGCGUGCGCAGGCGGUUAUGUAAGACAGGUGUGAGAUCCCCGGGCUUAACCUGGGAACUGCAUUUGUGACUGCAUAGCUAGAGUACGGUAGAGGGGGAUGGAAUUCCGCGUGUAGCAGUGAAAUGCGUAGAUAUGCGGAGGAACACCGAUGGCGAAGGCAAUCCCCUGGACCUGUACUGACGCUCAUGCACGAAAGCGUGGGGAGCAAACAGG
This 253-nucleotide ribosomal RNA is filed under the name uncultured bacterium. RNAcentral's name for it is "partial 16S ribosomal RNA". It matches the Rfam family "Bacterial small subunit ribosomal RNA", at positions 524 to 776 of the family's 1533-position model. The record is from RNAcentral.